Molecule: ribosomal RNA, 253 nt
Filed under: uncultured bacterium
Lineage: Bacteria
Description: partial 16S ribosomal RNA
Rfam family: Bacterial small subunit ribosomal RNA
Source: RNAcentral
UACGUAGAUGGCAAGCGUUGUCCGGAAUUAUUGGGCGUAAAGCGCGCGCAGGCGGUCCUUUAAGUCUGAUGUGAAAGCCCACGGCUCAACCGUGGAGGGUCAUUGGAAACUGGGGGACUUGAGUGCAGAAGAGGAAAGUGGAAUUCCACGUGUAGCGGUGAAAUGCGUAGAGAUGUGGAGGAACACCAGUGGCGAAGGCGACUUUCUGGUCUGUAACUGACGCUGAGGCGCGAAAGCCAGGGGAGCGAACGGG